Molecule: ribosomal RNA, 130 nt
Filed under: uncultured bacterium
Lineage: Bacteria
Description: partial 16S ribosomal RNA
Rfam family: Bacterial small subunit ribosomal RNA
Source: RNAcentral
GGGCCCGCACAAGCGGUGGAGCAUGUGGUUUAAUUCGAAGCAACGCGAAGAACCUUACCAAGGCUUGACAUGGACUUGACCGCCUAGGAAACUAGGGUUUCCCUUCGGGGACAGGUUCACAGGUGGUGCA